UACGUAGGUGGCAAGCGUUGUCCGGAUUUAUUGGGUUUAAAGGGUCCGUAGGCGGUUUUAUAAGUCAGUGGUGAAAUCCGGUAGCUCAACUAUCGAACGGCCAUUGAUACUGUAGAACUUGAAUUAUUGUGAAGUAACUAGAAUAUGUAGUGUAGCGGUGAAAUGCUUAGAUAUUACAUGGAAUACCAAUUGCGAAGGCAGGUUACUAACAAUACAUUGACGCUGAUGGACGAAAGCGUGGGGAGCGAACAGG
This 253-nucleotide ribosomal RNA is filed under the name uncultured bacterium. RNAcentral's name for it is "partial 16S ribosomal RNA". It matches the Rfam family "Bacterial small subunit ribosomal RNA", at positions 524 to 776 of the family's 1533-position model. The record is from RNAcentral.